RNAcentral lists this ribosomal RNA (153 nucleotides) under uncultured bacterium. Its description in RNAcentral is "partial 16S ribosomal RNA". It matches the Rfam family "Bacterial small subunit ribosomal RNA", at positions 338 to 508 of the family's 1533-position model. The record is from RNAcentral.
CCUACGGGAGGCAGCAGUGGGGAAUAUUGGACAAUGGGCGAAAGCCUGAUCCAGCCAUGCCGCGUGAGUGAUGAAGGCCCUAGGGUUGUAAAGCUCUUUUGUGCGGGAAGAUAAUGACGGUACCGCAAGAAUAAGCCCCGGCUAACUUCGUGC